GACAGAGGGUGCAACCGUUGUUCGGAAUUACUGGGCGUAAAGCGUGUGUAGGCGGUCUUCUAAGUCGGGUGUGAAAUCCCUGGGCUCAACCCAGGAAGUGCACUCGAAACUGGAGGGCUAGAGUAUCGGAGAGGUUGGUGGAAUUCUCGGUGUAGAGGUGAAAUUCGUAGAUAUCGAGAGGAACACCGGUGGCGAAGGCGGCCAACUGGACGAAUACUGACGCUGAGACACGAAAGCGUGGGGGGCAAACAGG
RNAcentral lists this ribosomal RNA (253 nucleotides) under uncultured bacterium. RNAcentral describes it as "partial 16S ribosomal RNA". It matches the Rfam family "Bacterial small subunit ribosomal RNA", at positions 524 to 776 of the family's 1533-position model. The record is from RNAcentral.